This 468-nucleotide ribosomal RNA is filed under the name uncultured bacterium. RNAcentral's name for it is "partial 16S ribosomal RNA". It matches the Rfam family "Bacterial small subunit ribosomal RNA", at positions 28 to 507 of the family's 1533-position model. The record is from RNAcentral.
GACGAACGCUGGCGGCGUGCUUAACACAUGCAAGUCGAACGGAAAGGCCCUGCUUUUGUGGGGUGCUCGAGUGGCGAACGGGUGAGUAACACGGGAGUAACCUGCCCUUGACUUUGGGAUAACUUCAGGAAACUGGGGCUAAUAACGGAUAGGAGCUCCUGCUGCAUGGUGGGGGUUGGAAAGUUUCGGCGGUUGGGGAUGGGCUCGCGGCUUAUCGGCUUGUUGGGGGGGUAGUGGCUUACCAAGGCUUUGACGGGUAGCCGGCCUGGGAGGGGGACCGGCCACAUUGGGACUGAGAUACGGCCCAGCCUCCUCCGGGAGGCAGCAGUGGGGAAUAGUGCACAAUGGGCGGAAGCCUGAUGCAGCAACGCCGCGUGCGGGAUGACGGCCUUCGGGUUGUAAACCGCUUUCGCCUGUGACGAAGCGUGAGUGACGGUAAUGGGUAAAGAAGCACCGGCUAACUACGUG